RNAcentral lists this transfer RNA (86 nucleotides) under Desulfurispirillum alkaliphilum. RNAcentral's name for it is "tRNA-Leu". It matches the Rfam family "tRNA". From Rfam's summary of the family: Transfer RNA (tRNA) molecules are approximately 80 nucleotides in length. The record is from RNAcentral. Lineage: Bacteria; Pseudomonadati; Chrysiogenota; Chrysiogenia; Chrysiogenales; Chrysiogenaceae. RNAcentral also lists the same sequence under 2 other names.
GGGGCUGUGGCGGAAUUGGUAGACGCACUGUCUUCAGGUGGCAGCGGCCACAAGCCGUGGGAGUUCGAGUCUCCCCAGCCCCACCA